UUGAAAGGGAAACGAUUGAAGUCAGUCGUACCUAUGGGUAAUCAGCCUUUUGGGUGUGAUUUUGUGGAGCGUGAGGAGUUAAACGCCUUCAUGCCUGCAUAUUCGUGCACUUUGGGUGUACUUGCCCGUGUGUAAGUUAACAUCAAUUUUGGUGGUCGUAAAAUGGCUGGAGGAAUGUAGCUUCGAUCUUGUAUUGAAGUGUUAUAGCCUUCGGUAGAUGUGACGAUCGGGAUUGAGGAUUGCGACGGAUACCCUUCGGGGCUACCUGUCUGAUCUCUGAUUGUUGCUCUGGUACCGAAAGCUUGCUUACGGUUAUCAAAGUCGAUGGUCAAUAGGUUAGAACGGGUUAAAUUCGUUAAGGAUGUUGACGUA
Molecule: ribosomal RNA, 372 nt
Filed under: uncultured Glomeromycotina
Lineage: Eukaryota; Fungi; Glomeromycota
Description: LSU rRNA
Source: RNAcentral